Molecule: long non-coding RNA, 2100 nt
Filed under: Homo sapiens (human)
Lineage: Eukaryota; Metazoa; Chordata; Mammalia; Primates; Hominidae
Description: non-protein coding LINC01105:17
Source: RNAcentral
AGUGUUUUGACGACUGCCUCACUAAAGGAAGCUAAAAGCUGUGCUGAUGCCUCCCAGACGAGCCUCGUUGGAAGCACAGAACCUUCACGGCUCGGAGCCGCUGACACCGUGACAAAGGGAGCCCUGCUCAGGUGAGACAAGGCUCGGGGGUUCAGAUGCUGGUCGUCUGGUACAGGUCUCUGCCGUGUGCAUGAGAACAAGUCCGUCUGCCAGGCUGGACGCUGCUAUCAGACAGAUUGAUUUGCCGAGUGUCUUUCAGCAUUUCCCUAAUUCCUUUUUGAAAAGCAAGAGCUAGGCUGAUCAUGCACCUGGGUCAUAAAGCCCACUCUAAAAUCAGGGAGAUGGCUUUAGAGAGGAUCCAGCCAAGGAGAAAACUAGGUCUGACUCUCGGAUGUGUCAGCAACUGCCCCGAGUCUGCUCAGUAGGUCCCCAGAGGUGAUUCCUCUCCAUAGUCUGUGAACUCAUCAUGGAAUGCUGGCAAUGGACUAUUCCACGGGGUCUGGAGUGCUGAGUUCUAGUUCAGAACCUGUCCUAGCGGCACCAGGAAGCCCUGUGGUGUUGGGCAAAUCACAUAACCUCUUGGUGUUUCUGUUCUUUAUUGAAAAAGAUGGUUAUGUAUUUGCCAUGACAGGUUCAAACUCCUUAGGGGUAAAAUUGUGCCCUAUUUACCUUUGUUUGCUGAGUCCUUGGCACAAGGCCUGGUGUUUGACACACCUAAAAAUUACCCAUGGACUCUGUGCUUUGGGACAGAAAAGGUGAUGACAAGAUGCAGGUGUAAACUUGGAAAGGCCAUGAGAUCUAGGUUAUAGUCUCAGUGAAGUCAGCUACCCAUUCAGAGCCCUGUAAAAUGAAUACAGCCAUGUUUUGUGUUGUGUGAUGACAUCAGUGCAGAUGUGAGCCAGACUUAGGCUCAUGGUGGGCACUUCAGCAGGUGCUAGCCCUGGUGGGCUUAGCUUUGUGUAUGUCAGACCCCAGUGACAGGUCUAAGGGUUGGAGAGGAGACCGGGAGUGAUGUCAGGCUCUGGGAUGAGGGCGUAUUUGGAACAGUAUGGCUGAAGCCCUGUCAUGAUGACCAAAUUGUUCUGAUGACUCUGAGCCAUUCCCCAGUUGGAGUCAAUCUCCAGGAUGACUGAUCCACUGGGCAGAGUCUGGUGUUAAGAGACAACACGGUGCUCGCAGUCAGGCAGAUGUUCUUGUUUCAAUACCAAACAGAUACAUCCAGAAGGCAAAUAGAAUGGUCUUAGCUUCCUGAUUAAAUCUCACUUGCCUCCCCCACUGCCUUGGGGGCCCUGUUCGAGCUUCCUCCUUUGCCUGACCGUGUUAAUAUUGGAGGACGUGAUCUCCAUUCUCUUGCUGCUAUAUUCCCUUCUGGCCUUAUUGUGGGAGAUGCCCUGCUUCAUUGCUUCCGUGACAACUAUUGCUUGUAUUUUUCUGCUUGCUUCCCGAUAUUUCUCAUCUUCAUGCCUCUGCUUAAGCUGGGCACCCUCUCCAGUGACCUGAAUGACUUGUAUUCAUUGUUUAAGGCUACGCUGCGCUCCCACUUCCUCCAAAACGCCUCCCCCUGAUCUUUUAGGUGUUUCUCUCCUUGUCCUGAAAAACACCCAGCAUUGUAUCUAUUACAUAAGAUUGUACUGCUAUUAUCUACACCCUGCCCCAUUCAUCUGUGCUCCUUGAAGGAAGGGACUGUGGUUUCACAUCCUGAUAUAUCCAGAGUCUAGUGCAAUGCCUGGCUCACAGGAUGGAGAACCUUGUCCAACUGUGGGGAGGAAGAAAGAAUAUCCAAUUUCUGGGAAGAUGACAAUUUCUGGGGGCUUCCAAGAGUUUCAUGGUCCUCAAGAAGACUGUGGCUCUGGUUGACAACAACAACCAGGAAACCAAAGUAGAAACCCAGAGCCCAGACACCAGCACUGGGGGUCUCAGGGAGGCUACAGCUCAAGGGCUGGGGGACAUGGGUGCUCUGGGCUCACUGUAGGGAGAGAGAUUCCCACAGUUGAAGGCACCCAGCUCCUCCAGGGCACCAGCCUUGGUUUGAGCUAUGCUGGAUGGGGCGGAGGCUGAACCUUGGUCUCACAAUGGAAUUAAGAUUGAAUGGUGGGGUGG